This is a small nuclear RNA of Zalophus californianus (California sea lion), 107 nucleotides long. The record is from Ensembl. Lineage: Eukaryota; Metazoa; Chordata; Mammalia; Carnivora; Otariidae.
GUGCUCACUUCAGCAGCACAUGCAGUGAAAUUGAAACGAUACAGAGAAGAUUAGCAUGGUCCCUGCCCAGGGAUAACACACAUAUUCAUGAAGCGUUCCAUAUUUUU